Molecule: long non-coding RNA, 2190 nt
Filed under: Homo sapiens (human)
Lineage: Eukaryota; Metazoa; Chordata; Mammalia; Primates; Hominidae
Description: HSALNT0075591
Source: RNAcentral
CUCUGUGCCAAUCUUGUAUCCUGCAAAUUUGCCUAAUUCUAUGAGCGCUAAGUGGUUUUUAUGAUUUAGGAUUUUCCAUAUACAAGAUGUCACUUAUUUAGUCUUCCUUUACAAUUUGACUAAUAUUUUUAAAAUAUUGAUAUUUAAUGUUUUGAUUCUUGCAAAUUGGUUGGCAACUCAUGGUGCUACAUUACCUUGUACUUUUUCUUGCUGGUUUUAAAAUGUGAGCUAUUAUGCAAUUCCUACAGUGUUUGCUUCUGCCAGUAGCUGGUUGUUUUACUAAUUUGGAAUCACUCUAAAAAUUAAAUCCUCUGCUUGAAUUUCCUGGGACCACCUAAGCCUGCAAAUCUUCACAAAGCCCAAACUGUUAUUACAAAUUCUCGCAAUAUUCUCCUGUCACAGAGCACCAAGUUUCAAGAUAGGUAGAGUCCUAGUUGUACUAGGAAUGGGUUUCUCGUAUUUGACACCACUUUUGGGUGCAUCCUGGGCUUUGCCAGAGUCAUGAAAAUUAAAGGUCAGCUGGGCAUGAUGGUUCACGCCUGUAACCCCAGCACUUUGGGAGGCCGUGGCGAAUGGUCUUGAGCCCAGGAGUUCAAGAACAGUCUGGGCAACAUGGCGAGUAGCCCCAACUACUCAGGAGGCUGAGGUGGGAGGAUUGCUUGAGUCCAGGAGGUCGAGGGGUGUAUCACUGCACUCCAGCCUGGGUGAUACAGCAAGACCCUGUCUUGUAGAAAAAAUGAAAAAAGUUCACUUGGGGUAGGUACUUCAAGUGUUUUCAAAAUGCAAUGCAAGCUGGUUCUGGGUAUGUUCUGUUUUCUUCUGGGUUCUUGGUUUCAGUUUGGUUUUGGUGAGAGUACUCCUUCCUUUCUUGAUAGAACAUUGACACAUCGAAAAAAAAAAAAAAAGUUUUCCCCCAGCAAGUGGUUGCUUUUUCAAAGGAUUUAUCAGGGUAAUCAUCCAGGCUGACAGAAUCUGAACUGCAUUAUUUUACUUACAAUAAAGAAGGUCUGAUUAACAAAUUUUUAAUAGUAUAUUAGUUUUCUUUGUUCUUUUGGAGUUAGAAAUGAAGCAAGCAAAAGAUUAAACAUUUUCCCUAAGAAGAUAUACAAAUGACGAGUAAGUACAUGUACCUUUGACAGACUACCAUUUGGCCCAGUCAUUUGUGUUAAAUAUUUGAUCACCUAAAAUGUUGCAAGUAGUCAUCUCGUCAUUGAUAAAUAAGAGAAAAAAAAUCUGUCCUCAUAGAACUGGGGUGGCGCUGAGGGUGAGACAAUUAUUACCUAUAAGAUAGAUAAUACUGAAUAUGCCAUGAUGUACUCUAUAGAGGUGAUGCUGUGUUGGUGUAUUUAUAGAAUAGUCAAGAAAAACCACUCUGAUAAGGUAUUUGAAUAGAGACCUAGUUAGGGAAAAGGAAGCUGUAUGGUAUGUGGGGGGGUGGCACUGUCAUGUUUUGAAGCCAUUUCCAAAUACCUUUAACCGUUGAUUUUUCCAUUACAAUGGGACAGCACGAGAAAUCUUAAUAGUCACCUUAGGGUACCUUUAAUAUCUGUCAAACACUGCAAACACCCUUAACAUAGCAUCAUUUCCACUUGGAAAAAUUGCCUAGUGUCAGGCCACAGAAUGGGAUCUGGGUUCAAAUUUGUUCAGCUAGCCAACACAAUACUUAGGUAGAUCUUUGCACCUGAUUACUUUUAAAUACUUGACGAUUGGUUGAAUUCCAUGCCAGUAUGGUUAUUCAAAUUAGCCAACUGUAGGACGUUAAUGUAUUUUAAUAUUCCAAGUGUAAAUGUGGAAAUCAAUGUACUGUAUUACAAUUCAAAGUACUAGGAAAUUGUCAGGUAUCAGAAACGUAAUACUUAAACACAUUCUCUAAAGCCAAAAACAGCUAUAAAAAAAUAGCUGUAGAGUCAAAGGAUUACUGGUUGUAGUCUGUUACAAGGGAAUGCUACGAACAGACUUCUGAAAACGGUUCUCAAUCUUCACUAUUCAUCAGAAUCACUUGGAGGGUGUUUUAAUAUAGGUGACUGGGCUCCAUGCCAGUUUGACUCAGGACUGGGAUGGGGCCUGACAACUUAUAUUACAAAGAAUUUCCUAAAUGAUGCUGAGAUUGUUAUCUCAAGAAACAUUUUGAGAACCACCUUAUUCAUAAACUGUAUAAAAUUAAAAAUCGAGCUCACACACAUUAAGCUC